ACCUACGGGGGGCAGCAGUAGGGAAUUUUCGUCAAUGGGCGCAAGCCUGAACGAGCAAUGCCGCGUGAACGAGGAAGGUCUUCGGAUCGUAAAGUUCUGUUGAAGGGGAAAAAGAGCGGAGAGAGGAAAUGGUCUCCGAUUGAUAUUACCCUUCGAGGAAGUCACGGCUAACUACGUGCCAGCAGCCGCGGUAAUACGUAGGUGGCGAGCGUUAUCCGGAAUGAUUGGGCGUAAAGGGUGCGUAGGCGGCCUGCUAAGUCUGGAGUGAAAGGUACCGGCUCAACCGGUGCAGGCUCUGGAAACUG
RNAcentral lists this ribosomal RNA (305 nucleotides) under uncultured bacterium. Its description in RNAcentral is "bacterial SSU rRNA". It matches the Rfam family "Bacterial small subunit ribosomal RNA", at positions 337 to 635 of the family's 1533-position model. The record is from RNAcentral.